CGCGAAGGCGCACGUGGUAGGGGAGCGUUCUGUAGGCUGAUGAAGGUGCAUUGAGAAGUGUGCUGGAGGUAUCAGAAGUGCGAAUGCUGACAUGAGUAACGAUAAUGUGGGUGAAAAGCCCACACGCCGGAAGUCCCAGGUUUCCUGCACGACGUUAAUCGGAGCAGGGUGAGUCGGCCCCUAAGGCGAGGCUGAAGAGCGUAGUCGAUGGGAACCAGGUUAAUAUUCCUGGACUUUUUAUAAGUGGUGAAGUGGGGACGAAGAAGGCUAGGUGAGCCAGGCGUUGGUUGUCCUGGUACUUGCAUGUAGGGGGGAAGACUUGGCAAAUCCGGUUUUCCAUAACUCUGAGGUGCGAAGUGGUUCUGACCUUUUGGUACAGAGAAGUCAUUGAUGCCCGGCUUCCAGGAAAAGCUGCUAGCCAUAACUUAUAGAGAACCGUACCGCAAACCGACACAGGUGGACAGGUAGAGAAUACUAAGGCGCUUGAGAGAACUCGGGUGAAGGAACUAGGCAAAAUGGUACCGUAACUUCGGGAGAAGGUACGCCCUUUUGGGUGAGGGCAUUUACUGUCUGAGCUUAAGAGGGCCGCAGAGACCAGGUGGCUGCGACUGUUUAUUAAAAACACAGCACUCUGCAAAUUCGUAAGAAGACGUAUAGGGUGUGACGCCUGCCCGGUGCCGGAAGGUUAAUUGAUGGGGUUAUCUUCGGAGAAGCUCUUGAUCGAAGCCCCGGUAAACGGCGGCCGUAACUAUAACGGUCCUAAGGUAGCGAAAUUCCUUGUCGGGUAAGUUCCGACCUGCACGAAUGGCGUAACGAUGGCCACACUGUCUCCACCCGAGACUCAGUGAAAUUGAAAUCGCUGUGAAGAUGCAGUGUACCCGCGGCUAGACGGAAAGACCCCGUGAACCUUUACUAUAGUUUUGCACUGGACUUUGAUGAUGACUGUGUAGGAUAGGUGGGAGGCUGUGAAGUGAGGACGCUAGUUCUCAUGGAGCCGCCCUUGAAAUACCACCCUGUUGUUAUUGAGGUUCUAACUUGGUCCAGUAAUCCUGGAUGAGGACAGUGUAUGAUGGGUAGUUUGACUGGGGCGGUCUCCUCCCAAAGAGUAACGGAGGAGCACAAAGGUACCCUCGGUACGGUCGGACAUCGUACCAAGAGUGUAAAGGCAAAAGGGUGCUUGACUGCGAGAGUGACGGCUCGAGCAGGAACGAAAGUUGGUCUUAGUGAUCCGGUGGUUCUGAAUGGAAGGGCCAUCGCUCAACGGAUAAAAGGUACUCCGGGGAUAACAGGCUGAUACCGCCCAAGAGUUCAUAUCGACGGCGGUGUUUGGCACCUCGAUGUCGGCUCAUCACAUCCUGGGGCUGAAGCAGGUCCCAAGGGUAUGGCUGUUCGCCAUUUAAAGUGGUACGCGAGCUGGGUUUAGAACGUCGUGAGACAGUUCGGUCCCUAUCUGCCGUGGGCGUAGGAAAAUUGAGAGGAGCUGCUCCUAGUACGAGAGGACCGGAGUGGACGAACCUCUGGUGCACCGGUUGUCACGCCAGUGGCAUGGCCGGGUAGCUAAGUUCGGACGGGAUAACCGCUGAAAGCAUCUAAGCGGGAAGCCUCCCUCAAGAUGAGUUUUCCCAUGAAGCCCGUUGAAGACUACGACGUUGAUAGGCAAGGUGUGGAAGCGCAGUAAUGCGUGAAGCUAACUUGUACUAAUUGGCUGAUUGUCUUGACCAU
This 1722-nucleotide ribosomal RNA is filed under the name Legionella pneumophila. RNAcentral's name for it is "partial 23S ribosomal RNA". It matches the Rfam family "Bacterial large subunit ribosomal RNA", at positions 1211 to 2925 of the family's 2925-position model. Lineage: Bacteria; Pseudomonadati; Pseudomonadota; Gammaproteobacteria; Legionellales; Legionellaceae. The record is from RNAcentral.